RNAcentral lists this ribosomal RNA (465 nucleotides) under uncultured Klebsiella sp. RNAcentral describes it as "bacterial SSU rRNA". It matches the Rfam family "Bacterial small subunit ribosomal RNA", at positions 338 to 795 of the family's 1533-position model. Lineage: Bacteria; Pseudomonadati; Pseudomonadota; Gammaproteobacteria; Enterobacterales; Enterobacteriaceae. The record is from RNAcentral.
CCUACGGGGGGCAGCAGUGGGGAACAUUGCACAAUGGGCGCAAGCCUGAUGCAGCCAUGCCGCGUGUGUGAAGAAGGCCUUCGGGUUGUAAAGCACUUUCAGCGGGGAGGAAGGCGUUAAGGUUAAUAACCUUGUCGAUUGACGUUACCCGCAGAAGAAGCACCGGCUAACUCCGUGCCAGCAGCCGCGGUAAUACGGAGGGUGCAAGCGUUAAUCGGAAUUACUGGGCGUAAAGCGCACGCAGGCGGUCUGUCAAGUCGGAUGUGAAAUCCCCGGGCUCAACCUGGGAACUGCAUUCGAAACUGGCAGGCUAGAGUCUUGUAGAGGGGGGUAGAAUUCCAGGCGUAGCGGUGAAAUGCGUAGAGAUCUGGAGGAAUACCGGUGGCGAAGGCGGCCCCCUGGACAAAGACUGACGCUCAGGUGCGAAAGCGUGGGGAGCAAACAGGAUUAGAUACCCGAGUAGUC